CCCUUCGGGACAGAGAGACAGGUGGUGCAUGGUUGUCGUCAGCUCGUGUCGUGAGAUGUUGGGUUAAGUCCCGCAACGAGCGCAACCCCUGUGGUUAGUUGCCAUCAUUUGGUUGGGCACUCUAAGCAGACUGCCGUGGAUAACACGGAGGAAGGUGGGGACGACGUCAAAUCAUCAUGCCCCUUAUGACCUGGGCUACACACGUGCUACAAUGGUCUGAACAGAGGGCUGCGAAACCGCGAGGUGAAGCUAAUCCCUUAAAACAGAUCUCAGUUCGGAUUGCAGGCUGCAACUCGCCUGCAUGAAGUUGGAGUUGCUAGUAAUCGCAGAUCAGAAUGCUGCGGUGAAUGCGUUCCCGGGUCUU
This 364-nucleotide ribosomal RNA is filed under the name uncultured Acetobacterium sp. RNAcentral describes it as "bacterial SSU rRNA". It matches the Rfam family "Bacterial small subunit ribosomal RNA", at positions 1017 to 1382 of the family's 1533-position model. Lineage: Bacteria; Bacillati; Bacillota; Clostridia; Eubacteriales; Eubacteriaceae. The record is from RNAcentral.